Molecule: long non-coding RNA, 378 nt
Filed under: Oryctolagus cuniculus (rabbit)
Lineage: Eukaryota; Metazoa; Chordata; Mammalia; Lagomorpha; Leporidae
Description: lncRNA (ENSOCUG00000035663.1)
Source: RNAcentral
UAAUUCAGUAUAUUAAAAAAAAUUGUUCAAAUGCCUCCCUUUCUGGGGCUUUAGUUUUUCAGUUUUCAGGGCAGAGCAAAUACAAUUAAAAGGGGUAUAGCUCCACAGUGGUUUGAAACCUCUCUCUAGGAUCUGCUCGAAACAAUUAAAAUCAUCAGAUGCAGCCUCCCUUUGGCUAAACGAAAGGACUCCAUUUUGCUGGGAGAAAUUGUAUUCUUCUCUAUAAAAGUACAUAUGUCAAAUUAAAAAAAAACUGACUUUUAUCAGACUCAAAAAAGGUAGAGAAAAUGUUUUUUUUUUUUUUUUUUCUGGAACCCACAAUAAUAUCAAUUGCAAACAUUUAAUGUUUAGAAGAAGUUGUUUCUUUGCCAUACAUUC